AGCCCGUUGGUGUAGUGGUCAAGCAUAUCGGGCUUUGGACCCGUCGACGAGAGUUCGAAUCUCUCACGGGCUA
This 73-nucleotide transfer RNA is filed under the name Candidatus Bathyarchaeota archaeon. RNAcentral's name for it is "tRNA-Gln". It matches the Rfam family "tRNA". From Rfam's summary of the family: Transfer RNA (tRNA) molecules are approximately 80 nucleotides in length. Their secondary structure includes four short double-helical elements and three loops (D, anti-codon, and T loops). RNAcentral also lists the same sequence under 1 other name. The record is from RNAcentral. Lineage: Archaea; Thermoproteati; Candidatus Bathyarchaeota.